RNAcentral lists this long non-coding RNA (610 nucleotides) under Gossypium barbadense (sea-island cotton). RNAcentral's name for it is "long non-coding RNA (GBAR_LNC005019)". Lineage: Eukaryota; Viridiplantae; Streptophyta; Magnoliopsida; Malvales; Malvaceae. The record is from RNAcentral.
GCCUUAUAACAAAUUAAAACCCGAAAACAUAAAGGAAAUAAUCUAGAAUAAAAGUGAAGGCAUAAACACUUAUUUUAAACAGUCCACAUGGCCACUCUGAAUCCCUCCAGCUCUAAGUCCACCGAUCUAAGGCUCACCUACAAAGAUGGGAAAAAGGGGGUGAGUUUGGAAAACUCAGUGUGUAAAGUAUCCCAACCAGAGCCCAAAUCAGUUCAAGCUUUAUUGGGUCUAAGCCCUAUUCAGAAAUCAGAGUUAACUGGGCCUUAGCCCAUAUCAAUAUUAAUCUGGCCCACGCCAUCCACAGCAAAGCUGCUUGUAUAAGAAUAUGCGGCACAGCCACCAGAACGGGCUCUUCCUCCAUAACAAAACCCAACCCCAUGCAGUAUGACAUGUAUGCAGAAUAUAUAUAUUUAACAAGGGAUGCUUUAGAAAGACAGUCAAAUUAUAGUGUAAGAACAGUUAUUUACCCCCGAGGGGCGUAAUCGUAAACUUAGCCCUUCAGGGGUAUUACUGUAAUUCUACCUUACAGAGGUAUUUUAGUAAUUUUAUCAGUAUUUUUAAGGUUUUAUGCUCAUUAUAGUUAUUAACAUAUUAACAGAAACACUUACCG